This 245-nucleotide ribosomal RNA is filed under the name uncultured bacterium. RNAcentral's name for it is "partial 16S ribosomal RNA". It matches the Rfam family "Bacterial small subunit ribosomal RNA", at positions 524 to 768 of the family's 1533-position model. The record is from RNAcentral.
UACGGAGGGGGCGAGCGUUGUUCGGAAUUACUGGGCGUAAAGCGCGCGUAGGCGGUCAGGUAAGUCGAAUGUGAAAGCCCUCGGCUCAACCGAGGAACUGCGUCCGAUACUGCUUGGCUUGAGUCCGGUAGGGGAUGGCAGAAUUCCCGGUGUAGCGGUGGAAUGCGUAGAUAUCGGGAGGAAUACCGAUGGCGUAGGCGGCCAUCUGGGCCGGAACUGACGCUGAUGCGCGAAAGCUAGGGGAG